GGGGGAGGGUUGGGGGUCAGAUCCGCUAUUCUUAGCUGGGAGGGCAGCUCACAGCGCACUGCCAGGCCGUGGAGGUGCGGCUGGAACGGCUGCUGCUUGGCAAAGGGAAAAGAAGCUGCGGAGGGGACGGGGGAGAUGCUCGCGCCGCCCUUGCUGCAGUAGGUCGUAGCCACGAGGUGAGGAAGCAGCAGACGGCCGCCGUUCUGUUUUUCCCCGAGAGCAGAUUGAUGGAGUCACUGUGCUGUCCUGGCUGCUGCUGAGCCUUCCUAGCUGACCCUGGGACACUGCUGCAGGCAUGGGCUGAGGAAGCCAAGAGCGCUGCGUGUUUCUCACACCAGCUGGGUGGUACCACGAGGGCUCAUUUGGUGGCAUCGAGAUGCUGUUACUGACAGUGACUUCGUGGGAAAAGCUCCUGUUGGGUGGUUGGGAGGGGAUUUUCAUGGCAGUCCUUUGGUGUCUCUGUAGUGCCAGCCCAGAACUUGCUUUUCCACCUGGUGGAUGCUCGUCUGACAGCUGCACGCAGCUCCUCAGCCUCUGCUAGAAGUGACCCGAAGUCCAAAGGACUCAGCCCAAAUACACUGAGCAACUCCAUAGAAUGGAUGCUGCUCCGGUGGGUGGUUUCAGCUCUCUCUCUUUGCCAACACGCUAAUGAAAAUUCAAUAAGAAAGUAACCUUAUUGUGAAGAUUUUAAGCUGCACAGCUUCCUUGUAAUAAUGAAAUUGAGAAGGGAUUCAUCGCCUGAUUUAAUUACUGAGAGAAAAGAUGUCUUCCAAUGGGAUUUCCAUCUCACGCACCCCGGACGCUCCUUGUGCAUGGACUCAGCCUCACUUGCACCAAGGCUUUGGUUCCCACAAGUUUUCUGCUCUCCUCUAUCUUUGGCUUAGCGGAGGUUUGUUGGGAGUGGCCUAUUUGGUUUGCAGGUAUCUGCAGUUUAGUGACUGGAACCUCCUGGCACGGCUCCUGUUUGGGAAUCUCUGCCGUUGGGGCUUUGGGAUUGCUUUCGUUUUUGUGAGGUGGUGGUGAAGCCCUGCUGUGUUUCUCAUAGAACCAUAGAAUGGCCUGGGCUGAAAAGGACCACAAUGCUCAUCCAGUUCCAACCCCCUGCUAUGUGCAGGGUCGCCAACCAGCAGCCCAGGCUGCCCAGAGCCACAUCCAGCCUGGCCUUGAAUGCCUGCAGGGAUGGGGCAUCACAGCCUCCGACCUCUUCUCCUUUGGGUCUGGGCUGAGCGGGGCUCCAAACACACAUCAGCCCCCCCGUCCUCAGCAGAGCAUUUCAGAAGCCUUUUUUUUCCCCCCUCCCCUCAAAGAUGCUGGGGCCAACCAACACCUCCUUGUUCAUCCUGUUUGCCAUUGCUUUGCCAGCAGCAUCCCGCCGGCUCCUUUCCAGACCUCUCACCCGUUCCCAGCACUGUUUAUUUAUCAGUGUCUGUGCUGGCCGGCCAGCUGCCACGGAGAGGAGCUGUUUGGCUGCACACCGCCUGCUUCUGCUUCCCAGGAGAGCAGGCAAACAAACCCCCACCGUUCCGCCUCUGCAGCCGCCUUCCUGCUGGGUUUUGUCUCAUGUCCAGCCCUGAAAUGCUGUAUGUGUGUCCGCUCCACAGCACUUCUCACUGAGCAUCUUCCACGCACGGCCAGAUUGCAGGAAUUACUGCAUUUCCCACGUGUUGCACAUGCACUUCAGCUUGGGUUUUAUGUCUUACUUGCUGUGCUCUUCCUGCAGAUGUAUGAAGGAUGGAGCUCAGCAGAUGGAACCUUCUCUUUAGCUUGUAAUUCGCCUCAAUGUGCUGGCUAAUAAUCUCAGGGCAGCCGGGCUGCAUGGCCUCCCCAAGGCCACUGCAGCAAUAACACAGGGCAGGAGCACAGCAGGCUUCACCCCACGUUGAUGUGCAGCCUCAUGUGCUGCUCCUCGAGUCUCAAAUGCACAAUGCAGGUUGGGCAGCAGUGUGGGUUGGGCAGCGGUGCAGAUGCUGCAAGGAAACGUUUAAAUCCAAAGCUCAAAUUUGUUCCCAAUUAGUGCUAAAAAAAAACCCAAGCACCACCACCCACAAUAAUGAAUAUCCAUAGUAACAUCUCUGUUUAGGUUUGUUUUCCAGCCUCACCUCGGCUCCCUGCCAGGAUGCCUGAACAUCUCUUUGUGUCUGGCGGGUUGUUGUUUGUUUAGGUUGGUUCUGCGCAUGUAUGCAUGAAUGCUUCAGAAAUGGCUUUGGUUUUGUCUUUGGGAAUGUGUUCCAAACAAAUACCCCCAGGCGGUGGCACAGAGGUUUGCUUACCUUAUUGCUGUGUUGCUCUCAGUGUCAUUUCUCAC
Long non-coding RNA from Gallus gallus (chicken), 2305 nucleotides. RefSeq lists it as uncharacterized. The record is from RefSeq and is a predicted model, not a curated record. NCBI's taxonomy places the organism in Eukaryota, Metazoa, Chordata, Aves, Galliformes, Phasianidae. The transcript is spliced from 3 exons.